AGUGAACGCUGGCGGCGUGCCUAACGCAUGCAAGUCGAACGAUGAUAGAGAGCUUGCUCUCUUGAUUAGUGGCGCACGGGUGAGUAUACCAUAGAUAAUGUGCCCCUUAGUCUGGGAUAGCCACUGGAAACGGUGAUUAAUACUAGAUACUCCUUCUUACUAUAAGGUAAGUCGGGAAAGUUUUUCGCUAAGGGAUCAGUCUAUGUCCUAUCAGCUAGUUGGUGAGGUAAUGGCUCACCAAGGCAAUGACGGGUAUCUGGUUUGAGAGGAUGAUCAGACACACUGGAACUGAGACACGGUCCAGACUCCUACGGGAGGCAGCAGUGAGGAAUAUUGCACAAUGGAGGAAACUCUGAUGCAGCAACGCCGCGUGGAGGAUGACGCAUUUCGGUGUGUAAACUCCUUUUAAGAGGGAAGAUUAUGACGGUACCUCUUGAAUAAGCACCGGCUAACUCCGUGCCAGCAGCCGCGGUAAAG
RNAcentral lists this ribosomal RNA (477 nucleotides) under uncultured bacterium. Its description in RNAcentral is "bacterial SSU rRNA". It matches the Rfam family "Bacterial small subunit ribosomal RNA", at positions 29 to 525 of the family's 1533-position model. The record is from RNAcentral.